This 508-nucleotide ribosomal RNA is filed under the name uncultured Glomeraceae. RNAcentral's name for it is "SSU rRNA". It matches the Rfam family "Eukaryotic small subunit ribosomal RNA", at positions 569 to 1082 of the family's 1831-position model. Lineage: Eukaryota; Fungi; Glomeromycota; Glomeromycetes; Glomerales; Glomeraceae. The record is from RNAcentral.
AGCAGCCGCGGUAAUUCCAGCUCCAAUAGCGUAUAUUAAAGUUGUUGCAGUUAAAAAGCUCGUAGUUGAAUUUCGGGAUCAGACUGUCGGUCGUGCCUCGGUACGCACUGGCAUUAUUGGUUCCUACCUUCUGAAGAACCGCGAUGUCAUUAAUUUGGUGUCGCGGGGAAUCAGGACUGUUACUUUGAAAAAAUUAGAGUGUUUAAAGCAGGCUUACGCUUGAAUACAUUAGCAUGGAAUAAUGAAAUAGGACGUUUGAUUCUAUUUUGUUGGUUUCUAGGAUCGACGUAAUGAUUAAUAGGGAUAGUUGGGGGCAUUAGUAUUCAAUUGUCAGAGGUGAAAUUCUUGGAUUUAUUGAAGACUAACUACUGCGAAAGCAUUUGCCAAGGAUGUUUUCAUUAAUCAAGAACGAAAGUUAGGGGAUCGAAGACGAUCAGAUACCGUCGUAGUCUUAACCAUAAACUAUGCCGACUAGGGAUCGGAUGAUGUUAAUUUUAUAAUGUACUCA